Molecule: ribosomal RNA, 466 nt
Filed under: uncultured bacterium
Lineage: Bacteria
Description: bacterial SSU rRNA
Rfam family: Bacterial small subunit ribosomal RNA
Source: RNAcentral
UCCAGACUCCUACGGGAGGCAGCAGUGAGGAAUAUUGGUCAAUGGGCGGGAGCCUGAACCAGCCAAGUCGCGUGAGGGAAGACGGUCCUAUGGAUUGUAAACCUCUUUUGUCGGGGAGCAAAAGACGCCACGCGUGGCGUUCCGAGAGUACCCGAAGAAAAAGCAUCGGCUAACUCCGUGCCAGCAGCCGCGGUAAUACGGAGGAUGCGAGCGUUAUCCGGAUUUAUUGGGUUUAAAGGGUGCGCCGGCGGCACGGCAAGCCGGCGGUCAAAUCGCGGGGCUCAACCCCGCCCAGCCGUCGGAACUGCCGGGCUAGAGUGGGCGAGAAGUGCGCGGAAUGCGUGGUGUAGCGGUGAAAUGCAUAGAUAUCAGGAGGAACACCGGCGGCGAAGGCGGCUUACUGGACUGUAACUGACGUUGAGGCUCGAAGGCGUGGGGAGCAAACAGGAUUAGAUACCCGCGUAUA